UUCGAGAGACACUACCCACCGUUCCCGCAGAUAGAGAAGUUAACCAAUUGGGUGGGCGUGAGGGUAACAAACUAUAUCUUCCUCGAUUAUACCAACAAUGCAGAGAUAAUCCAGUCGACGAAUUUGUGAUUAUAAGAAUACGGCUGCUGGAGCAACCCAAGUCGAGAAAAAUGAACAAGAGUUUAUGCACUACAGGUGAACUACAGGUGAAGACACUCAAUCCAGUCCCGUGGGCCACCCGGAUUCAUAUCGCACUGCGGGGGGGACUCUGGAGAGAUCAAUGACACUACAGAUGGUGCGUUAUGGGCCGAUUCCAGGUUCUGACCCAUGGAGGACUGAAGGCAUGUCUACAGAGGAAGUGGACGAAUCUGGAUCUGUCAUUUGUGGGGAAUUUAUGUUUGAUGAGAAUAGUGUUGAGAUGAAGGGGAAUUAGAUUGUAAUUUG
Molecule: long non-coding RNA, 444 nt
Organism: Oncorhynchus nerka (sockeye salmon)
Lineage: Eukaryota; Metazoa; Chordata; Actinopteri; Salmoniformes; Salmonidae
Exons: 3
Source: RefSeq, a predicted model, not a curated record